UCCCUGAUAGCUUAGAUGGUAAAGAAUCUGCCUGCAAUGCAGGAGACCUGGGUUCAGUGCCUGGGUUGGGAA
This is a non-coding RNA of Bos taurus (domestic cattle), 72 nucleotides long. The record is from Rfam. NCBI's taxonomy places the organism in Eukaryota, Metazoa, Chordata, Mammalia, Artiodactyla, Bovidae.